RNAcentral lists this non-coding RNA (143 nucleotides) under Chloroflexota bacterium. Lineage: Bacteria; Bacillati; Chloroflexota. The record is from RNAcentral.
AACAACUGAGAUGACAUUGGCGCGCCAACACCCGGACGUGUGGCGCUCAAUGGGGGAAGCCGGUGUAAGUCCGGCGCUGUCGCGCAACGGUAACAGCCGCAAAAUGCUGAAGCCCGAAUACCCACCAAUACGUCACUCGAUCA